CCACAGUAGUGCCCGAGGCUGGAUGCCGAGCCGAUUACGGCGAAGUGGGUAAUCCUAAGCUGUCGAGAAAAGCCUCUAGCGAGUUCCAUAGCCGCCCGUACCCCAAACCGACACAGGUGGUCAGGUAGAGAAUACCAAGGCGAUCGAGUGAACCGUGGUUAAGGAACUCGGCAAAAUGCCCCCGUAACUUCGGGAGAAGGGGGGCCGGACGCGUGAACGGACUUGCUCCGGGAGCGUUGAAGGCCGCAGAGACCAGGGGAAAGCGACUGUUUAUUAAAAACACAGGUCCGUGCGAAGUCGCAAGACGAUGUAUACGGACUGACGCCUGCCCGGUGCUGGAACGUUAAGGGGACGGGUUAGCCUUUCGGGGCGAAGCUCAGAACUUAAGCGCCAGUAAACGGCGGUGGUAACUAUAACCAUCCUAAGGUAGCGAAAUUCCUUGUCGGGUAAGUUCCGACCUGCACGAAUGGCGUAACGACUUUCCUACUGUCUCAACCACGGACUCGGCGAAAUUGCACUACGAGUAAAGAUGCUCGUUACCCGCAGCAGGACGGAAAGACCCCGGGACCUUUACUAUAGUUUGGUAUUGGUGUUCGGUUCGGCUUGUGUAGGAUAGGUGGGAGACUAUGAAGCCGGCACGCCAGUGUCGGUGGAGUCAACGUUGAAAUACCACUCUGGUCGUACUGGAUAUCUAACCUCGGUCCGUGAUCCGGAUCAGGGACAGUGCCUGAUGGGUAGUUUAACUGGGGCGGUUGCCUCCUAAAGAGUAACGGAGGCGCCCAAAGGUUCCCUCAGCCUGGUUGGCAAUCAGGUGGCGAGUGCAAGUGCACAAGGGAGCUUGACUGUGAGACAGACAUGUCGAGCAGGUACGAAAGUAGGGACUAGUGAUCCGGCAGUGGCUUGUGGAAGCGCUGUCGCUCAACGGAUAAAAGGUACCCCGGGGAUAACAGGCUGAUCCUGCCCAAGAGUCCAUAUCGACGGCAUGGUUUGGCACCUCGAUGUCGGCUCGUCGCAUCCUGGUGCCGUAGCAGGUCCCAAGGGUUGGGCUGUUCGCCCAUUAAAGCGGUACGCGAGCUGGGUUUAGAACGUCGUGAGACAGUUCGGUCCCUAUCCGCUGCGGGCGCAGGAGACUUGAGAAGGGCUGUCCCUAGUACGAGAGGACCGGGACGGACGAACCUCUGGUGUGCCAGUUGUUCCGCCAGGAGCAUGGCUGGUUAGCUACGUUCGGAAGGGAUAACCGCUGAAAGCAUCUAAGCGGGAAGCCUGCUUCAAGAUGAGGUCUCCCACCACCAAGAGUGGGUAAGGCCCCCAGCUAGACCACUGGGUUGAUAGGCCGGACGUGGAAGCCCAGCAAUGGGUGAAGCUGACCGGUACUAAUAGGCCGAGGACUUGACUC
Molecule: ribosomal RNA, 1396 nt
Filed under: metagenome
Description: bacterial LSU rRNA
Rfam family: Bacterial large subunit ribosomal RNA
Source: RNAcentral